Molecule: ribosomal RNA, 741 nt
Filed under: Triticum aestivum (bread wheat)
Lineage: Eukaryota; Viridiplantae; Streptophyta; Magnoliopsida; Poales; Poaceae
Description: partial small subunit ribosomal RNA
Source: RNAcentral
AUGACGUCAACUACCGAACCAAAAGCCGAGCAGUGGCUAUUUACUCUAAUGGAGCUGUUAUCACAUGCUGAAUUUGUGAGGAUUUCGGUGACUCUUUGGGCUAUCUGGGUAGCGAGGCGAAAAGCUAUACACGAAGGUGUUUUUCAGAGCCCACAUGCGAUCAUGUCCUUUGUAGAGAGGUACAUUGAUGAACUCGAGGUAAUCAAUGGAAAACAGGAGCCGGUAAGGACUGAACCCAGAGUGGUACAUAACAGCAACAGGAAACCCAAAGCACCUCCUACUGGCUAUGCCAAAAUUAAUGUUGAUGUGGGGUGCAGGAAAGGAAGCCAGGGGACAGCGGCAGCGGUAUGCAGAGAUAGCUCGGGGACUUUCCUUGGUAGCUCGGCUCUAGUUAUCAGAGGUGUGGAUGACCCGGCAACACUAGAGGUAAUAGCGUGCUGGGCGGGUUUGGCGUUUGCAGUUGAUCUUCACCUAAACCAAUUUGUCGUAGCGUCAGACGCGAAGGAGGUGAUGAGUGCCAUACACAACGACAGCAAGUGCGCUUAUGGAGCAAUCAUCAAGGAGAUUAGAGUCCAACAAUCUUCUUUUCAUUGUAAUUUUUGUUUUGAAGGCCGUUUGAACAAUUUAGAAGCUCAUAGAUUAGCCAAGCAUACUCUUUCUCUGGGUCCGGGGCGUCAUGUUUGGUUAGACCAACCCCAUAACCCGAAUUGUAUCCCACUACAUGUGGUUUUUAAUGAAUAA